RNAcentral lists this ribosomal RNA (451 nucleotides) under uncultured bacterium. Its description in RNAcentral is "partial 16S ribosomal RNA". It matches the Rfam family "Bacterial small subunit ribosomal RNA", at positions 28 to 507 of the family's 1533-position model. The record is from RNAcentral.
AGCGAACGCUGGCGGCAUGCCUAACACAUGCAAGUCGCACGGGGGGGCUUCGGCCUCCCAGUGGCGGACGGGUGAGGAACGCGUAGGGACCUGUCGAGGGGUGGGGGAUAACCGCGGGAAACUGCGGCUAAUACCGCGUGACGCCGCGGCGUGACAGCCGGGGCCAAAGGCGAAAGCCGCCCGCCGAGGGGCCUGCGUCCGAUUAGCUGGUUGGCGGGGUAGCGGCCCACCAAGGCGUCGAUCGGUAGCUGGUCUGAGAGGGUGAUCAGCCACACCGGGACUGAGACACGGCCCGGACUCCUACGGGAAGCAGCAGUGGGGAAUAUUGGACAAUGGGCGCAAGCCUGAUCCAGCAAUGCCGCGUGGGUGAAGAAGGUCUUCGGAUUGUAAAGCCCUUUCGGCGGGGACGAUGGUGACGGUACCCGGAGAAGAAGCCCCGGCUAACUUCGUG